GCGUCCGUAGCUUAAUUGGAUAGAGCGCCGCCCUGACGAAGCGGCAGGUGAGGGUUCGAGUCCCUCCGGGCGCG
Molecule: transfer RNA, 74 nt
Rfam family: tRNA
About the family: Transfer RNA (tRNA) molecules are approximately 80 nucleotides in length. Their secondary structure includes four short double-helical elements and three loops (D, anti-codon, and T loops). Further hydrogen bonds mediate the characteristic L-shaped molecular structure. tRNAs have two regions of fundamental functional importance: the anti-codon, which is responsible for specific mRNA codon recognition, and the 3' end, to which the tRNAs corresponding amino acid is attached (by aminoacyl-tRNA synthetases). tRNAs cope with the degeneracy of the genetic code in two manners: having more than one tRNA (with a specific anti-codon) for a particular amino acid; and 'wobble' base-pairing, i.e. permitting non-standard base-pairing at the 3rd anti-codon position.